ACUCAGUCUCUCACUCCCCUGCCCUCUGAAACUCAGUCUGCCCCACCUCCUUCCUCGCCUGAGACUGCCAAAAAAUCCGACAUACGAUCGUUCCGGAAGAUGCACCGGAGUUUGCAAUGGAAAAAAUCGAUACAGUUUUUAUCAUAUGCUUACUAGAGGACCUAAAGAGUAGUAACUUGGGAAGUGAGCCUUCUAUCAGGCAACUUGAUUUUUCCGAGUCCCCAAGGGGUUCUGAAUACAGCACUGGGUCGACUGUCCAGUUCCAUGCAAAAGGUGAUAAAAUAGAACAACCUCAAGCUGAAAUAUGUUCACCAGACCAGUAUGGUGGUGUUGAGCCAAUGCCAAUUCAUGCAGAAGUAUAGAAUAGUGGUGGCGGUUGUCAAGAUGGAAUUUGUUCAUGUCUACUUGCAGAAAUUUGUGUCCUAGGAAAUUCUAGCCCAUCUUCACCAUCCAAUUGUCUGGAAAGAUUUUGUCUUAUCUCUUCAGUUCACUGUCCAUGUCUCCUAAGCCUUUUCGACCCUUUUCUUUACCAAAAGGCCGUUGCAAGAUCUGCACCUCAAAAUUGUGAUUUAAAAUGUUUUAGUACAUUCUAUUUGCCAAUUUGAUCUUACAAUGUGUUAUGCAAGGGUUAUAGGCCUGAAUACUCAAAUUGAUUUCUAGUGUGUCUGUUGAAUUGCUUGAUUUUUCUCUGAGUCUUCUAUAAGGUAUUGGUUGUUGGUAUUCAGUUUUUUUGGGCAGUUCUGUUUUCGGUCUUCGAUUUUCCAUUUGUACAUAGCAUGCAUUAUAGAACCUUAGUCUUUUUAAGAGUAGUAUUUUUAACAGAGUAAUUACACAUCAGUAAUUUGGGAACCUCCCAUACAUUGUCUUAGAAAAACCGAUACCUGUAUCUGCCGGCGAUUCUUCCCUUCUCUGUUUUUUCCAUUGAAAAAAAUAUUAAGUUAAAAAAAAAAAACUUAGAGAAACAGAUUCAAUAGUAGAUGAGAUGAGAGGGACGGAGAAUCAUACCGCCAGUGUAUUUUCCGAAAUGAUCGUCCGUCGGAUUUCUUGACAGUCUCAAGCGGGGGUGGAGGUGGUGUGGACUGAGUUUGAGAGGGCAGGGGAGUGAGAGACCGAGUAUGAACGAGAAAUAGGGGAGUGAGUGAAACUCGUUUUGGGGUGAAAUGAGAGCUAAUAGGACGAACUAACAGCCGUCCCGUUAACUCAUACGAGAAUGAGACGUAUACGUGUGGGAGGACACGCGGCUGAUUCUAAGACUGUAGGACAUUUUUGGGGCGCAACCUGGUCGGGGGCAUAUUCGAACUCGGCGCAGAUGUGAAUCCGACUGGAUUGUGGUGAGACGUGCGGAUACAGGUGUUGGAAGGUUUUCUGGUUGGGAGGAGAUCCAGGAGAUCCAGACUCGUACCGAAAUCCGAACAGAAUUUUCGCGCCUCUCCUUAAUUUCACGGAAUUUUAUAUCCGCAACGGAGGCGGGAGAUGUUCCUAAUUUACGGUUGGAAUGUGCUGCGCGGGGUGAGCUCUGCUGGUGCACCGAUCCAACGGUCCAAACACGAAUCAUGCUUCAAUAAGCAGAGCACUCUCUCGCUCCCUCUCGUUCUCUGUUUUCUCUUCCUUCUUUUUCCCUUCAAUAAAGGGGAAGGGGAAAGAUGUCUUUUGCAAUGGGGAUGAUGAAUUUCUCCGAUGGCAACAUCUACGAGUCGCAGGAAAGUAGAACCAUCGACAUUCGCUAUGCAUUUUAAGUAUCUCUAUAUAUGUUGAUUCGACUAUGCAGUUCUUCUUAUUUCUUCAUUUUGAUUGAAUUUUGCAUAUAUCUGAUUGAGGUUAAUCAUUUCACCGAAACGAUCUAUAUAUGUUGAAUUUUGUAUUGGUUUUAUAAAGAAAAGGUUAUCUUGAAGUACUUGUGGUGUGCAGUUGGAAAAUAUCUCUGUGUUGGUAUCGCUUGUGAGACGUUUUUGCCUUUUUCUAUCCAAAGAGACUACAUUUGUAUCAAAUUUCAUUAACUUGAAGGAUUCUCAUGACAUGUAUAUAAACAAUUUGAGACAAGUGUCGCAGUCUCCCUUGCAUGGCUUCGAAAGAAAAGCUCAGAAACUUAUUUCCCUUGGUUUACUUGAUUGCUCUCCAAUUAGGUUAUUCAAACCGUUAGUUUGUGUGAAACAUUUUGAACUGAUUGGAUUCCUUUACAAAUUGCUGUCAACGUGUCCUUUGGAUGUUCUUGUUUUGAUGACACUGUGAGCCUGUGAGAUGCUGGAUGGUUGCCUAUUUCUGUUAUCCAUGCAGGUUAUUUGCGGCAUUGCUCUGUUGAGCUUGUUUCUUUGAUAAGUUUUUGAUCAUUUGGUGCUAACUUGAUGAACUGCUUUAUGUUCGAUUGCCUAAGGGUGGCUGCACUUACUACCUAAAAUUAAGUUCCCAAAUAGCUCAAUUGUCCACUCUUUGUUCGACUGACUAACUUGAUGAACUGCUUUAUAUUCAAGUGAUCUGCCUGUCUGGAGGGAUUUGGAUGGUGAGAGGAGGGGGUCAUUCUGUUCUGUUAAAAUUUAUUUAGUUUUGUUUUUAAACUGUGGAAUGCAGCGGAUGGGUUUUAUGGGAGGAGUAACACCUCUGGUUUUGUAAAAGUUAUAUUCAAGGUUGGAGGCUUAGAAGGGUCCUUACUAUUAGUGGACAAGAUAUAAAAAUAAUUGUUGGAAGCUAACCACAUAAAAAUGAAAAGGGACUGACGAGUAUUUGGUCUUUGAUGCAGCUUUAAAUAUUAAACCAUUGAUGGUUGAACUUCAUCCUUGCAUUUUGUGCUAAAGGAUGCUAAUCAGAAGCUGCAAGUGUUUUAGAAAACAAGAGUAGAACGCAGAUGUUACUAUUGACUGAAUCAUGGAGUGGGUGGGGUUGCUAGAAAUCAUGCUUGAAAUGCUCUGCUAAGUUACUCAAGACCAGCUACAGAAAGAACUUCUUGGAGUGCAAACCACUCAUCCUCAUGCGGCCUUACGAUCUCCUAGAGCAGCGGUCUAGGAUGCAUGAGUUUUCUGAAGAAACUUUUCAUCCAUUUGAGUGUUUUCAGAGCUAAAUUUCUCUAUUCAAAAGAGUGGGACCUCGUGAAAAUCUGAAUUAAUAAAGAAAUUAAAGAGGAAAAGGAAACAGCUUGGGUAGAAAAACGAAAUCCGGAUUACUUGUUAACCCAUCUUCCCGACCUUCAAUCAUCUCUCCUCUCCCACACACACAUAUAUGAUGAAACGAUGACAAGCCAAGGAGCCGUUGUUGCACCACCAUCAACCGGCACAGAGUGUUGCAUGUGUGGAGACUAUGGACUAUCUGCUGAGCUCUUUCGUUGCAGGGAUUGUCAGUUCAGAUUUCAGCACAGAUACUGUAGUAAUCUCUAUCCAAAAGCGGAGUCGUACCGAGUCUGCAACUGGUGUCUGAAGAAAGGAGUCAACACCCAGAAUCUGCCUCUUCCAUCAUCGAGCAACUGCAGUGAGAAUGAUGACAAGAACGCAAGGAACAACAUCGGGGAUGAAGCAAUGGCUCCGAAGGUCCAAAGAGGCAGUCUCCAAUUGCAUCUCAGCAGCCCCAUGAAGAAACUGAAGUCGCCGGACAAAUCAUCUUCGGCAAGGAAGAAGAUCAUCCCAAGAGGUAUCUUGGAGGAAAGAUAUCAAAGGAUGAAACAGGAGGAAAUUCCAAACACGGGGGCAACCAGACAGAUUUUUAGAGGUAAGAUUCGAAGAUAUAAGCUCUUGGAUGAGUUUUCUAGUUGACUAGUUUUGACUCUGGCGGACAUAUCUCAUAUCCGGAUCUCUACUCUAUCUAUGUUCAUGCACAUAGUUCUUAUGAUGUAAAUGAUUGUCGAAACUUGAAUCUAACGAAUUUGCAUGGGUUAUUCGGCUCCGCUUCGCUUAAAUUUCAUACUGUUUCUUUCUUGGGUUUAUAUAAAUUGAGUUGUUUUCCUUUUCA
Nelumbo nucifera (sacred lotus) is the source of this 3933-nucleotide non-coding RNA. Lineage: Eukaryota; Viridiplantae; Streptophyta; Magnoliopsida; Proteales; Nelumbonaceae. The record is from RefSeq and is a predicted model, not a curated record.